GCAUGAUUGCAGGGGGACUCAUUUAGAGUUGAGAAGGUAAAACCUGACCCUUUGAACCUGUUAGUUAAUACUGACGUAGGGAGCAACUCACAUCUAUUU
Molecule: non-coding RNA, 99 nt
Filed under: Lysinibacillus xylanilyticus
Lineage: Bacteria; Bacillati; Bacillota; Bacilli; Caryophanales; Bacillaceae
Description: TPP sequence
Rfam family: TPP riboswitch aptamer (THI element)
About the family: Vitamin B(1) in its active form thiamin pyrophosphate (TPP) is an essential coenzyme that is synthesised by coupling of pyrimidine and thiazole moieties in bacteria. The previously detected thiamin-regulatory element, thi box was extended, resulting in a new, highly conserved RNA secondary structure, the THI element, which is widely distributed in eubacteria and also occurs in some archaea. Analysis of operon structures identified a large number of new candidate thiamin-regulated genes, mostly transporters, in various prokaryotic organisms.
Source: RNAcentral